GACGAACGCUGGCGUCGUGCUUAACACAUGCAAGUCGAACGAUGAAGCUGGAGCUUGCUCUGGCGGAUUAGUGGCGAACGGGUGAGUAACACGUGAGAAAUCUGCCCUUGACUCUGGGAUAACUGCGGGAAACUGUAGCUAAUACCGGAUACUUUCCCUGGUGGGCAUCCACUGGGGAAGAAAGAAUUUCGGUCAAGGAUGAUCUCGCGGCCUAUCAGCUUGUUGGUGAGGUAAUGGCUCACCAAGGCGACGACGGGUAGCCGGCCUGAGAGGGUGACCGGCCACACUGGGACUGAGACACGGCCCAGACUCCUACGGGAGGCAGCAGUGGGGAAUAUUGCACAAUGGGCGCAAGCCUGAUCCAGCAACGCCGCGUGAGGGAUGAAGGCCUUCGGGUUGUAAACCUCUUUUAGCAGGGAAGAAGCGAAAGUGACGGUACCUGCAGAAAAAGCACCGGCUAACUACGUGCCAGCCGCCGCGGUAA
Molecule: ribosomal RNA, 484 nt
Filed under: uncultured bacterium
Lineage: Bacteria
Description: partial 16S ribosomal RNA
Rfam family: Bacterial small subunit ribosomal RNA
Source: RNAcentral